This 253-nucleotide ribosomal RNA is filed under the name uncultured bacterium. RNAcentral describes it as "partial 16S ribosomal RNA". It matches the Rfam family "Bacterial small subunit ribosomal RNA", at positions 524 to 776 of the family's 1533-position model. The record is from RNAcentral.
UACAGAGGGUGCAACCGUGGUUCGGAAUUACUGGGCGUAAAGCGCGUGCAGGCGGCCUUGCAAGUCGGACGUGAAAUCCCACGGCUCAACCGUGGAAGUGCAUUCGAAACUGCGAGGCUGGAGUCCUGGAGAGGAAAGUGGAAUACUCGGUGUAGAGGUGAAAUUCGUAGAUAUCGAGUGGAACACCGGUGGCGAAGGCGGCUUUCUGGACAGGUACUGACGCUGAGACGCGAAAGCUAGGGGAGCAAACGGG